GACGAACGCUGGCGGCGUGCCUAAUACAUGCAAGUAGAACGCUGAAGGAGGAGCUUGCUUCUCUGGAUGAGUUGCGAACGGGUGAGUAACGCGUAGUUAACCUGCCUGUUAGCGGGGGAUAACUAUUGGAAACGAUAGCUAAUACCCCAUAAAAGUAGAUGUUGCAUGACAUUUUCUUAAAAGGUGCAAUUGCAUCACUACCAGAUGGACCUGCGUUGUAUUAGCUAGUUGGUGGGGUAACGGCUCACCAAGGCGACGAUACAUAGCCGACCUGAGAGGGUGAUCGGCCACACUGGGACUGAGACACGGCCCAGACUCCUACGGGAGGCAGCAGUAGGGAAUCUUCGGCAAUGGACGGAAGUCUGACCGAGCAACGCCGCGUGAGUGAAGAAGGUUUUCGGAUCGUAAAGCUCUGUUGUAAGAGAAGAACGAGUGUGAGAGUGGAAAGUUCACACUGUGACGGUAUCUUACCAGAAAGGGACGGCUAACUACGUG
RNAcentral lists this ribosomal RNA (495 nucleotides) under uncultured bacterium. Its description in RNAcentral is "partial 16S ribosomal RNA". It matches the Rfam family "Bacterial small subunit ribosomal RNA", at positions 28 to 507 of the family's 1533-position model. The record is from RNAcentral.